Molecule: ribosomal RNA, 320 nt
Filed under: uncultured eukaryote
Lineage: Eukaryota
Description: partial 18S ribosomal RNA
Rfam family: Eukaryotic small subunit ribosomal RNA
Source: RNAcentral
CCCCUAGAUGUUCCGGGCCGCACGCGCGCUACACUGAACAGUUCAACAAGUCUUAACCUUGGCCGAUAGGUCUGGGUAAUCUUUGAACGCUGUUCGUGAUUGGGAUAGACCUUUGCAAUUAUGGGUCUUCAACGAGGAAUUCCUAGUAAACGCAAGUCAUCAGCUUGCAUUGAUUACGUCCCUGCCCUUUGUACACACCGCCCGUCGCACCUACCGAUUGAAUGGUCCGGUGAAAUCUCGGGACGGCGGCUUGGUCGCUUGCGUCCGACUGCUGAAACUUGAUUAAACCAUNUNAUUUAGNGGAAGGUGAANUCGUANCA